AGAACGACUCUCGGCAACGGAUAUCUCGGCUCUCGCAUCGAUGAAGAACGUAGCGAAAUGCGAUACUUGGUGUGAAUUGCAGAAUCCCGUGAACCAUCGAGUCUUUGAACGCAAGUUGCGCCCGAGGCCAUCAGGUGGAGGGCACGUCUGCCUGGGCGUCACAC
This 164-nucleotide ribosomal RNA is filed under the name Ficus retusa. RNAcentral describes it as "5.8S ribosomal RNA". It matches the Rfam family "5.8S ribosomal RNA". From Rfam's summary of the family: 5.8S ribosomal RNA (5.8S rRNA) is a component of the large subunit of the eukaryotic ribosome. It is transcribed by RNA polymerase I as part of the 45S precursor that also contains 18S and 28S rRNA. The record is from RNAcentral. Lineage: Eukaryota; Viridiplantae; Streptophyta; Magnoliopsida; Rosales; Moraceae.